AUUGCUUAUAUGCUAUUGAAUAAUGAUUAAUGGUUAUUUGAGUUGAAUAUGAGAAAUCCGAGAAAGUUCUGAUAAUGUGACGACGUCCAAAAAGUCCCGUACGAACCAUAAGAAUAGUUAGGAUACAUGUAUCAUGAUAUAGGAUCCCGAUAUGUGAUUUCGUGUAAGACCACAUCUAGGACGUUGGCAUCGAUUUGAAAUUAAAGUGUAAGACCAUGUCUGGGACAUUGGUAUCGUAUUAAGACCAUGUCUGGGACAUUGGUAUCGUAUUUGAUUUUGUGUAAGACCCUAUCUGGGACAAUGGCAUCGAUAUUUGAUUACAUGUAAGACCACGUCUAGGACGUUGGCAUUGUACGAGUUUUUCGAGUUAUCAACGGUUCAACGGCCACUCCGAGAAACAACUGACUAUGUGAAUGUGUAUCCAAUGCAGGUACGUUUGAAAUGUAUAUCAUGUUUGAAAAUGAAAA
Molecule: long non-coding RNA, 467 nt
Filed under: Gossypium barbadense (sea-island cotton)
Lineage: Eukaryota; Viridiplantae; Streptophyta; Magnoliopsida; Malvales; Malvaceae
Description: long non-coding RNA (GBAR_LNC004091)
Source: RNAcentral